GACGAACGCUGGCGGCGUGCUUAACACACGCAAGUCGAACGGAAAGGCCCGGCUUUUGUGGGGUUCUCGAGUGGCGAACGGGUGAGUAACACGUGAGUAACCUGCCCUUGACUUUGGGAUAACUUCAGGAAACUGAGGCGAAUACCGGGUAGGAGCUCCUGCUGCAUGGUGGUGGUUGGAAAGUGUCGGCGGUUGGGGAUGGACUCGCGGCUUAUCAGCUUGUUGGUGGGGUAGUGGCUUUCCAAGGCUUUGACGGGUAGCCGGCCUGAGAGGGUUACCGGCCACCAUGGGACUGCGAUACGGACCAGACUCCUACGGGAGGCAGCAGUGGGGAAUAUUGCAGAAUGGGCGGAAGCCUGAUGCAGCAACGCCGCGUGCGGGAUGACGGCCUUCGGGUUGUAAACCGAUUUCGCCUGUGCCGAAGCGUGAGUGACGGUAAUGGGUAAAGAAGCACCGGCUAACUACGUG
RNAcentral lists this ribosomal RNA (468 nucleotides) under uncultured bacterium. RNAcentral describes it as "partial 16S ribosomal RNA". It matches the Rfam family "Bacterial small subunit ribosomal RNA", at positions 28 to 507 of the family's 1533-position model. The record is from RNAcentral.